This 506-nucleotide ribosomal RNA is filed under the name uncultured bacterium. RNAcentral's name for it is "partial 16S ribosomal RNA". It matches the Rfam family "Bacterial small subunit ribosomal RNA", at positions 29 to 523 of the family's 1533-position model. The record is from RNAcentral.
AGUGAACGCUGGCGGUAGGCCUAACACAUGCAAGUCGAACGGCAGCACAGGAGAGCUUGCUCUCUGGGUGGCGAGUGGCGGACGGGUGAGGAAUACAUCGGAAUCUACUCUGUCGUGGGGGAUAACGUAGGGACACUUACGCUAAUACCGCAUACGACCUACGGGUGAAAGCAGGGGACCUUCGGGCCUUGCGCGAUUGAAUGAGCCGAUGUCGGAUUAGCUAGUUGGCGGGGUAAAGGCCCACCAAGGCGACGAUCCGUAGCUGGUCUGAGAGGAUGAUCAGCCACACUGGAACUGAGACACGGUCCAGACUCCUACGGGAGGCAGCAGUGGGGAAUAUUGGACAAUGGGCGCAAGCCUGAUCCAGCCAUACCGCGUGGGUGAAGAAGGCCUUCGGGUUGUAAAGCCCUUUUGUUGGGAAAGAAAUCUAGCUGGCUAAUACCCGGUUGGGAUGACGGUACCCAAAGAAUAAGCACCGGCUAACUUCGUGCCAGCAGCCGCAGUAA